GAUGAACGCUGGCGGCGUGCCUAAUACAUGCACGUCGAGCGAACAGACGAGGAGCUUGCUCCUUUGACGUUAGCGGCGGACGGGUGAGUAACACGUGGGUAACCUACCUAUAAGACUGGGAUAACUUCGGGAAACCGGAGCUAAUACCGGAUAAUAUUUCGAACCGCAUGGUUCGAUAGUGAAAGAUGGCUUUGCUAUCACUUAUAGAUGGACCUGCGCCGUAUUAGCUAGUUGGUAAGGUAACGGCUUACCAAGGCAACGAUACGUAGCCGACCUGAGAGGGUGAUCGGCCACACUGGAACUGAGACACGGUCCAGACUCCUACGGGAGGCAGCAGUAGGGAAUCUUCCGCAAUGGGCGAAAGCCUGACGGAGCAACGCCGCGUGAGUGAUGAAGGUCUUCGGAUCGUAAAACUCUGUUAUUAGGGAAGAACAAACGUGUAAGUAACUGUGCACGUCUUGACGGUACCUAAUCAGAAAGCCACGGCUAACUACGUG
Molecule: ribosomal RNA, 497 nt
Filed under: uncultured bacterium
Lineage: Bacteria
Description: partial 16S ribosomal RNA
Rfam family: Bacterial small subunit ribosomal RNA
Source: RNAcentral